AGAGUUUGAUCCUGGCUCAGAAUGAACGCUGGCGGCAUGGAUUAGGCAUGCAAGUCGAACGCCCCGGUCCCUCGGGUCCGGGGAGUGGCGAAAGGGUGCGCAACGCGUGGGGAACCCGCCCCCGGGCCCGGGACAAGCGCUGGAAACGGCGUCUAAUACCGGAUGGAGGGGCCGCCGGCAUCGGCGGCUGCCGAAAGUCUUCUCGCCCGGGGAGGGCCCCGCGUCCCAUUAGCUGGUUGGCGGGGUGACGGCCCACCAAGGCGACGACGGGUAGGUGGUCUGAGAGGAUGGUCACCCACACUGGGACUGAGACACUGCCCAGACUCCUACGGGAGGCUGCAGUCGAGAAUCUUCCGCAAUGGGGGGAACCCUGACGGAGCGAUGCCGCGUGAGGGACGGAGGCCUUCGGGUCGUGAACCUCUGUCGCCCGGGACGAUGAUGACGGUACCGGGAAAGGAAGCCACGGCUAACCACGUGCCAGCAGCCGCGGUAACACGUGGGUGGCGAGCGUUAUUCGGAUUCACUGGGCGUAAAGGGUCCGCAGGGGGCCCGGCGCGCCCGCCGUGAAACGCCAAGGCCCAACCUUGGCCCUGCGGCGGGUACGGCCGGGCUUGAGCGCGCGAUGGGCAGACGGAACUCCGGGUGUAGCGGUGGAAUGCGUGGAUAUCCGGAAGAACACCGACGGCGAAGGCGGUCUGCUGGCGCGCGACUGACCCUCAGGGACGAGAGCGUGGGUAGCGAACAGGAUUAGAUACCCUGGUAGUCCACGCCGUAAACGUUGUGUGCCAGGCGUGCCGCGGUCGGCCCGUGGCGCGUCCAAGCCAACGCGGUAAGCACACCGCCUGGGGACUACGGCCGCAAGGCUAAAACUCAAAGGAAUUGACGGGGGCCCGCACAAGCGGUGGAGCAUGUUGCUUAAUUCGAGGCAACGCGAAGAACCUUACCCAGGCUUGACAUCCGGGGCACCGCCCUGAAAGGGGCGUCCCAGCAAUGGGCCCCGAGACAGAUGCUGCAUGGCUGUCGUCAGCUCGUGCCGUGAGGUGUUCGGUUAAGUCCGGCAACGAGCGCAACCCGUGCCGCCAGUUACCAUCGGCCGAGGCCGGGGACUCUGGCGGGACCGCCCGUGUCAAGCGGGAGGAAGGUGCGGAUGACGUCAAGUCCGUAUGGCUC
RNAcentral lists this ribosomal RNA (1170 nucleotides) under uncultured Fibrobacter sp. RNAcentral's name for it is "bacterial SSU rRNA". It matches the Rfam family "Bacterial small subunit ribosomal RNA", at positions 8 to 1201 of the family's 1533-position model. Lineage: Bacteria; Pseudomonadati; Fibrobacterota; Fibrobacteria; Fibrobacterales; Fibrobacteraceae. The record is from RNAcentral.